RNAcentral lists this ribosomal RNA (460 nucleotides) under uncultured bacterium. Its description in RNAcentral is "partial 16S ribosomal RNA". It matches the Rfam family "Bacterial small subunit ribosomal RNA", at positions 338 to 795 of the family's 1533-position model. The record is from RNAcentral.
CCUACGGGAGGCAGCAGUGAGGAAUAUUGGUCAAUGGACGAGAGCCUGAACCAGCCAAGUAGCGUGAAGGAUGACUGCCCUAUGGGUGGUAAACUUCUUUUAUAUGGGAAUAAAGUGUUCCACGUGUGGGAUUUUGUAUGUACCUUAUGAAUAAGGAUAGGCUAACUCCGUGCCAGCAGCCGCGGUAAUGUGGAGGAUCCGAGCGUUAUGCGGAUUGAUUGGGUUUAAAGGGAGCGUAGGUGGAUUGUUAAGUCAGUUGUGAAAGUUUGCGGCUCAACCGUAAAAUUGCAGUUGAAACUGGCAGUCUUGAGUACAGUAGAGGUGGGCGGAAUUCGAGGUGUAGCGGUGAAAUGCGUAGAUAUCACGAAGAACUCCGAUUGCGAAGGCAGUUCACUGGACUGAAACUGACACUGAGGCGCGAAAGUGUGGGUAUCAAACAGGAUUAGAUACCCCUGUAGUC